AGUGAACGCUGGCGGUAGGCCUAACACAUACAAGUCGAACGGCAGCACAGUAAGAGCUUGCUCUUACGGGUGGCGAGUGGCGGACGGGUGAGGAAUACAUCGGAAUCUACUUUUUCGUGGGGGAUAACGUAGGGAAACUUACGCUAAUACCGCAUACGACCUACGGGUGAAAGCAGGGGAUCUUCGGACCUUACGCGAUUGAAUGAGCCGAUGUCGGAUUAGCUAGUUGGCGGGGUAAAGGCCCACCAAGGCGACGAUCCGUAGCUGGUCUGAGAGGAUGAUCAGCCACACUGGAACUGAGACACGGUCCAGACUCCUACGGGAGGCAGCAGUGGGGAAUAUUGGACAAAGGGCGCAAGCCUGAUCCAGCCAUACCGCGUGGGUGAAGAAGGCCUUCGGGUUGUAAAGCCCUUUUGUUGGGAAAGAAAAGCAGCAGGUUAAUACCCCGCUGUUCUGACGGUACCCAAAGAAUAAGCACCGGCUAACUUCGUG
This 492-nucleotide ribosomal RNA is filed under the name uncultured bacterium. RNAcentral's name for it is "partial 16S ribosomal RNA". It matches the Rfam family "Bacterial small subunit ribosomal RNA", at positions 29 to 507 of the family's 1533-position model. The record is from RNAcentral.